AGAGUUUGAUCUUUGCUCAGGAUGAACGCCGGCGGUGUGCCUAAUACAUGCAAGUCGUACGCACUGGCCCAACUGAUUGAUGGUGCUUGCACCUGAUUGACGAUGGAUCACCAGUGAGUGGCGGACGGGUGAGUAACACGUAGGUAACCUGCCUCGGAGCGGGGGAUAACAUUUGGAAACAGAUGCUAAUACCGCAUAACAACAAAAGCCACAUGGCUUUUGUUUGAAAGAUGGCUUUGGCUAUCACUCUGGGAUGGACCUGCGGUGCAUUAGCUAGUUGGUAAGGUAACGGCUUACCAAGGCAAUGAUGCAUAGCCGAGUUGAGAGACUGAUCGGCCACAAUGGAACUGAGACACGGUCCAUACUCCUACGGGAGGCAGCAGUAGGGAAUCUUCCACAAUGGGCGCAAGCCUGAUGGAGCAACACCGCGUGAGUGAAGAAGGGUUUCGGCUCGUAAAGCUCUGUUGUUGGAGAAGAACGUGCGUGAGAGUAACUGUUCACGCAGUGACGGUAUCCAACCAGAAAGUCACGGCUAACUACGUGCCAGCAGCCGCGGUAAUACGUAGGUGGCAAGCGUUAUCCGGAUUUAUUGGGCGUAAAGCGAGCGCAGGCGGUUGCUUAGGUCUGAUGUGAAAGCCUUCGGCUUAACCGAAGAAGUGCAUCGGAAACCGGGCGACUUGAGUGCAGAAGAGGACAGUGGAACUCCAUGUGUAGCGGUGGAAUGCGUAGAUAUAUGGAAGAACACCAGUGGCGAAGGCGGCUGUCUGGUCUGCAACUGACGCUGAGGCUCGAAAGCAUGGGUAGCGAACAGGAUUAGAUACCCUGGUAGUCCAUGCCGUAAACGAUGAGUGCUAGGUGUUGGAGGGUUUCCGCCCUUCAGUGCCGGAGCUAACGCAUUAAGCACUCCGCCUGGGGAGUACGACCGCAAGGUUGAAACUCAAAGGAAUUGACGGGGGCCCGCACGAGCGGUGGAGCAUGUGGUUUAAUUCGAAGCUACGCGAAGAACCUUACCAGGUCUUGACAUCUUGCGCUAACCUUAGAGAUAAGGCGUUCCCUUCGGGGACGCAAUGACAGGUGGUGCAUGGUCGUCGUCAGCUCGUGUCGUGAGAUGUUGGGUUAAGUCCCGCAACGAGCGCAACCCUUGUUACUAGUUGCCAGCAUUAAGUUGGGCACUCUAGUGAGACUGCCGGUGACAAACCGGAGGAAGGUGGGGACGACGUCAGAUCAUCAUGCCCCUUAUGACCUGGGCUACACACGUGCUACAAUGGACGGUACAACGAGUCGCAAGCUCGCGAGAGUAAGCUAAUCUCUUAAAGCCGUUCUCAGUUCGGACUGUAGGCUGCAACUCGCCUACACGAAGUCGGAAUCGCUAGUAAUCGCGGAUCAGCAUGCCGCGGUGAAUACGUUCCCGGGCCUUGCACUCACCGCCCGUCA
This 1434-nucleotide ribosomal RNA is filed under the name uncultured bacterium. RNAcentral describes it as "bacterial SSU rRNA". It matches the Rfam family "Bacterial small subunit ribosomal RNA". The record is from RNAcentral.